Long non-coding RNA from Brassica napus (rape), 2900 nucleotides. RefSeq lists it as uncharacterized. The record is from RefSeq and is a predicted model, not a curated record. Lineage: Eukaryota; Viridiplantae; Streptophyta; Magnoliopsida; Brassicales; Brassicaceae. The transcript has 2 exons.
CUGUAUAACCUUCAAACAAAUUAUAAUUCAUUCUAUGUCUAAAUACCCUAAUACACCAAUACACCAUGCAUCUUUUAUAUAAUAAUACUACUAUGCCCUCUUACACAACCGGUAAAACCUGUAAACUAAAAAAAACUAAAUUAAUAAUACUUACCUUACACACAUACAACAUGGCCUUUGGAGAAUCACAUACCUUGUAGAACGUGGGUUGUUUCUUCUCCAUUUUUGAUCCACUGUGUAACCACCAAAACCAUUUCUGGAGUAGCUUUGCCUAUGAGAUGCCCAUCUGCAAUGACUCGCUUCGCUACUGACAAAAAGCUUUGCGCAUCUGAAAUCUAUGGAGUCGCCGACAACGUAAACGGCACCGCCGAAAGGUUCGUCAACUCUUCCUUCAAUCACCUUAAUCUUUUCGGUUUACGAGGCGGUUACAUGUACUAUUCUCACGGAUGUUGCCAGUUACACAUAUCUUUCUCGCUGUGAAUAUCCUUGAAUUGAUCGGAGAAGAUGAACAGUUUUUGUAACAUUGUGUUCUAUUCUAUUUUAUGCGUAUAGAAUAGAAAUGUAAAACAAUAUGUAUUAUGAAUGUUUUAUUCAUGUUAUGUAAUGUAAAAUAGUCUGUUACUAUAUGUAUUUAUCAUGUAUCGUUCCAGUUGAUGAUUAAUAAAGAAGGUGUUAUUUUCUUCACCAAGUACUAUACUAUGUAUUUUUUUCCAUUCUAUUUGAGUUUAGAGUUUAUAUUUGGGUUUAGGGUUUAUUGAUUAAGAUUUAGGGUUUAGUAUUUGAAAGGUGGGGUUGAGGUUUGAUGGUGACCCUAUCAUGUAUUGUUCCAUUUGACGAUUAAUAAAGAGUGUUCUAUUUUGUUCACCAAUAUGUACUAUACUAUGUAUUUUGUUUCAUUAUAUUUGGGUUUAGGGUUUAUACUUGGGUUUAGGGUUUAUACUUAGGUUUAGGGUUUAUACUUGGGUUUAGGGUUUAGUUAUUUAAAUUUAGGGUUUAGUAUUUGGAAGGUAGGGGUUGAGGUUUGGGUUUAGUGAUAGCCAUAGUAUUUAGGAGUUGGGAUAGUGUUUAGUAUUUAAAGAUUAUGGAUGUGGUUUUAGUAUUUCUAUAAUACUUAGUGAUUAGGGUGAUUAGUGACUAGAAUUUAGGGUUUAGUAUUUAGAAGGUGAGGGGGUAUGGUUGGGGUCAGCGUUAACUUCUUUCAUGCAAUCAUAGAUAUUUUAUAGUUUCACCAAUAUGUACUAUGUUAUUUAUUUUGUUCCAUUCUAUUUGGGUUUUGUGUUUAUAUUUGAAUUUUGGUUUAUAGGUUCUUGCCUAGGGUUUAGAUUUACUAAGUAAAUGUUUGGGUAUAGUAAACCAUAUUAUAUACAUUCUAUUUGGGUUUAUACUUCCUUGAUUAGGGUUUAGCUUAAUCUAUUUAUUUAGGUUUAGCGUUUAGGGUAUAUUUGGAUUAGGGUUUAGUGACUGGAAUUUAGAGUUUAGUAUUUAGAAGGUGAGGGGUAUGGUUGGGUCAACACUAACUUCUUUCAUGCAAUCAUAGACAUUUUAUAGUUUCACCAAUAUGUACUAUGUUAUUUAUUUUGUUCCAUUCUAUUUGGGUUUUGUGUUUAUAUUUGGGUUUAGGGUUUAUAUUUGAGUUAGGGUUUAGUGAUUAGAAUUUAGAAUUUAGUAUUUGGAAAUUUAUGUUUUUUUGGGUUUAGGGUUUAUACACUUUUUAUUUUUUUUUUAAAUUAUGUUUCUAUCCGCUCAUUCUACUUCAUAUAGUAAAUAAAUAUGUUAUAAGUAAAUUUGUGACAUGAGUUCUUUUACGUGAUGUGUUUGUAAAUAAUAGUGAUUCGUUAUUGACCAGCAAUAAGAAAAUUUUGGAUGGAUUAAAUUGGUACGUGGCUGCAUGUGUUUCUAUCAAAUAAAGUAGUAUUUAAUUUAAUCUUUACCCUACGUUAUUUUGACCAAGUCAUAUCUAGCAAUACAAUAUUACCGGAUGAUUAAUGGAAGAAGGGGCAGAACCGGAUAACAAUUGGCAUAAAUGAUAGAUAUUACAUUACGUCAAAAUCAAUGCUACUCACUUAAUUUUGAUGCCAAAGUUGGUUAUUCAGCAAAUUGAUAACUGAUAAAUUAUUAUGUUACAUAGACUUAUAGAUCAUUGCUUCUAAGUCUUUUGAAAAUGUAUUUACUCUUCUCUCUAUCUGAUCUCGUAGGUCUCUCUGGCGAUAACACGGAUGACCAUGGAAAGGUGUAUGAGUCGAAGCAGCUCGAAAACGGCAGUCUAUACGUGCGUUUAGACAUGCCUGGCGUCAGGGCCGGCUUACAACGGGGGACAAGCGGUGUAACCGCCCCGGGUCCGAGUCCGUGUCCCCCCGUGUAAUGAUAAAUAAGGGGUCCAAUUUUUUUAUAAAUUUAUAUUUUUAUAUAUAAAAAAAAUUAUAAAUACAAUAAAUAAAAUUGAAAAGGGUCCAAAAUUAUUUGAUAUGUAUAUAGUUUUAUUUUCAUUACAAAAUAUAUAAAAUAUUAUUGAUUAAAUUUUAAAAAUAUUUUAAACAUUAUCUCUGUAUAAAUUUUAGAGAGUAAAAAAUUUUUUUUUGCCCUAGGGCCCUAUCAUUAUUGAGCCGGUCCUGCCUGGCGUUCCCAAAGACAACUUUGCUGUCACAGUCGCUAACGGGAUAGUGAAGGUGACUGGUCAAGCUCCUUCCGUUAGCCACGACUCUGCUGGUCGGUUCUACUCUGGUGACGUGGCUAUGCUCUCAGCUCCUGUCAACAUUCCUAGCCGUCGGAUCAAAACAAUCGCCAAGAACGGUGUGAUUCGCCUCCUCAUCCCUCCCCUUUGAUUUCAUGAUAUGUAUGUUUCUAGACCUUUUUGUUGGGAUUAAGCGCUUUGAUGUUUUUUAAUUUCGACUACUUUUGGA